AUUGAACGCUGGCGGCAGGCCUAACACAUGCAAGUCGAACGGUAGCACAGGAGAGCUUGCUCCCUGGGUGACGGGUGGCGGACGGGUGAGUAAUGCAUGGGGAGCUGCCCAAUCGAGGGGGAUACCAGCUGGAAACGGCUGCUAAUACCGCAUACGCCCUGAGGGGGAAAGGUGGGGACCUUCGGGCCUACCGCGAUUGGAUGCACCCAUGUGGGAUUAGCUAGUUGGUGAGGUAACGGCUCACCAAGGCGACGAUCUCUAGCUGGUCUGAGAGGAGGACCAGCCACACUGGAACUGAGACACGGUCCAGACGCCUACGGGAGGCAGCAGUGGGGAAUAUUGCACAAUGGGGGAAACCCUGAUGCAGCCAUGCCGCGUGUGUGAAGAAGGCCUUCGGGUUGUAAAGCACUUUCAGUGGGGAGGAAGGGUUGAUGUCUAAUACGCAUCAGCAUUGACGUUACCCACAGAAGAAGCACCGGCUAACUCCGUGCCAGCAGCCGCGGUAA
This 506-nucleotide ribosomal RNA is filed under the name uncultured bacterium. Its description in RNAcentral is "partial 16S ribosomal RNA". It matches the Rfam family "Bacterial small subunit ribosomal RNA", at positions 29 to 523 of the family's 1533-position model. The record is from RNAcentral.